GGACAGAUAGCUCAGCGGUAGAGGUAUGUUCUGAAUGUCUCACUUUGCUCUUGGUACUGAACUGACACAAGAUAUCAGCGAGGGAUUGCAGAUCCCUAGGUCGCGUGUUCGAUCCACGCUCGGUCCU
Non-coding RNA from Neonectria punicea, 127 nucleotides. The record is from the annotation of a GenBank genome assembly. Lineage: Eukaryota; Fungi; Ascomycota; Sordariomycetes; Hypocreales; Nectriaceae.